CUCGAUUAACCUCAAGAUUAGUGCUUGGGAAUUUUUUUAAACGGCACUGGUGGAGUUGUCGAUAUAAUUGAAAUUGUAUUCUAAUCAUUUCUUCUUUAUUCGACUACCAUUAAAAUUUUUCGGCACUUUGCCUAAUAGUUUGUUACCUCCCCAACCCGGCCUAGACAUUAUGGCCAGAUAGUGAAAGCUACAUUAGUCACCGCAAUGACUAAGUAACCCUACAGUCUGUAAAAACCCUAUUUCAACUCACUUUGGAAAAUUGUGGUUGCACUUGAGUUAGUUUGGAAAAUAUAAUUUUGUUAAGUCGUCUAAUCUUAAGUCUUAUUUUUUAUUGGUGAUGAUGACUUUUUUUCUUAAAAGAACUCGUUAUUUCUCGUUUUGUUUUGCAAAAUUUUAUUAUCUAGUAAUGCAGUGGGAUACUCUAUUUGUGACAGAUUUUAAUUAGGUCAAAUAACAUGUAUUUUCUAGUUAACUUAUAAAAUCAUUGUGUUGAGCAAUGCAUGCAUAAACCCAAAUCUAAAACCACAAACCACAACUCAGAACUAAACAUUAGAGUCCAAAAAUUGAAUAAAUACUUAUUAAAAAUUAUUAAUAGUAAAAUAGUCCGAAGUCUAUGCUACGUUCACAUGCCGAGUUCGAUCCUAGUCUCGAUCAUUACCUGAGAAGUUAAGACUAGGGGUGAGCUUAAAAUAGCUCACUAUAAGUCAAUAACAGUAUAAUCAUACAAUCAUUCACACGGGCAAAAAUCAUCAUUUUCAUUACAGUACGAUACGUGACAUAUUUCAAUAAUCCUAAGAACAUGUCAUUAGCAUGAUGCAAUAAAAAAUGAUUCUUACCCAUCCAUCCGCUACACACCAUGAGUUUCCCAGAACUUGUUUGCCAAUCACCAAUACAAUAGUGCAAAUAUACUACCAAUAAAUAUGCAAACAAGUUACCAAUAAAGGUAAAUACAAUUAAACUGCCAAUAAUGCGAUAAAUUUGCCAAUCUCCUCGGUACUCGAUGUAGUGCACUAAAAACAAUAAUACAAACUUUAACUAUAGUCGGUACUCCACGGAUCUCCUCCAUCAACCACAAUAACUCAUCCCAUGCACAUGUGAUAUAACAUGCAAUCAUUAAGCAAAAUCAUGCUUUCAAUUUGGUUUCAGUACAAUGCCAUGUCUUACAUGCUUACGGUACCAUAAUCAAUUCAAUGGCAUGGUUAACAUGCUUACGGUAACAUAAUCAAUUCAAUGGCAUGCUUAACAUGCUUAAGGUAACAUAAUCAAUUCAAUUGAAAGCUUAUCAUACUUAUGGUAACAUAUUUAGUAUAUGGAUUGCAAGCAUUUAGUCAGUCGAUACAAUGGGAUCACAACCAGACAUAGUUAUUAUGCAAUCAAACAAUAACUCAAUGAGUCGCAUGCUAUACAGGUCCUCAAUCAAACAAAGUUAAAACCCACACAUUAAAAUAGCAAGUCCGCAAUACUAAUCCAUAAAGCUUUUGCUUCCACCCUUAAACCUUAAACGUGACUAAAAAAAUUACAAUAUUUAACAUAUUAAAAUAAUGUUAAAAAAACUUUAAACACCUUCCAAAUGGUUCGACCAAAUCAAUGUUACACCCACCAAUUUCUAGAGAAAUUCGGCAAGGAAAAUUACACUGAUUUAAUGCAAAAUGAGGGCACGAAUGGAAUCCGACUUCAUUGUUGAUCCGGGAUGUUCAAAUUAGUUUCUACAACCAAAAUAUUAUUGAAAAUAAGUAAUUUAAAACCAAUUACGAGCCCUAAAAAAUCAGCCAUAGCAUCCUCUAUUAACGAAAACAAUACUAUGUAGUUAUUCGCACCAAUCGCACUUACGCUUUCCGUUUUACUAAAUCCGAGUUGCCAAACGAAUGGGAUCAGAAACACUUAUAAAGGACAAGACCGAAGGCUGAUUAGAAUACAGGAACAACGAAUUAAACUUGCUGAAGAGUGGCAGAAAAGAGAAGAAAAAUGGCAGCCCCAUAAUAAUGAUUCAAGGGACGGCAUACCACCACAAUUGGCACAAUAAGGGGCUAUUUUUGUUCAGCACCAAAAAGGGAAUUUAAGGGCUGGUUAGGGAUUGUUUUUAGACUUGAAAAAAAAGGAAAAAAGGCUGGAAAUGGAGCAUAAAACAUCAAUUAAUGGCUCGAUAUGACAACCAACAAAGGGGAUCUAAGGGCAACAGAUACCACCAACGGCGGUAGCUCUAAGGCUAGUUUGGGGUAGUUUAAAAGGGGUGUUUAAGGGUUGAUUUGAACAACAACAAAAAAACAUGAGAUCUCAACAAAACAAUAGCUUAAAAUCCACAACAAAGGAAAUAAGACGAAGGAGAGAAAGAAUGGCACUUACACUGAGAAGAGAAUGAGCAGCACAAUAGAGUUUUUUGGGGGUAGCACAGUGAAGGAGAAAUGAAGCAAAAACGAGAGAAUUUGAGAGAAGGAAAAGGAUUGGAUGGAUACAGCAAAAGAAAAGAUGAAAAAAAGGCUAAAAAAUGGUUGAAAAUGUUACAUUUAUACUUACAUUAACUAGGCUGGGUGGCACAAAAAUAGGAGAGGAAAAUAGAAAAAAUUUAGUCAUUUUGUAAGGGAAAGGAAACAAACUCGGGUAUCUAAUCCAACUACACUCGGUCCUUAUUUUCUCUUCACCUUU
Molecule: long non-coding RNA, 2643 nt
Filed under: Gossypium barbadense (sea-island cotton)
Lineage: Eukaryota; Viridiplantae; Streptophyta; Magnoliopsida; Malvales; Malvaceae
Description: long non-coding RNA (GBAR_LNC016994)
Source: RNAcentral